Molecule: long non-coding RNA, 1174 nt
Filed under: Betta splendens (Siamese fighting fish)
Lineage: Eukaryota; Metazoa; Chordata; Actinopteri; Anabantiformes; Osphronemidae
Description: lncRNA (ENSBSLG00000016931.1)
Source: RNAcentral
GCCAUUUAAGUCACCGCGGAGGAAGAGUAAAAAAAAAGCGUUUGUUUUAUGAUACAGCUGGUACCGGAUGCGCCUCAGAGGUAUCUUUUAACCUUAAAAGACGGGCUGUUUUGCUGCAUAGCUGGAGCCCCAUAGAGGCUAUUACAAACGGGGCCACUCUCUAUUCACCGAGAGAGGGGAGAGCAGCGCUGGUGGAAGAGGCGGGAGGGGGGGAGGGGGGGGGGGGGGGGGUGCUGAGGAGGAGGGCGAGGGAUGAAGGGAGGAAGGAGGGAGUGUGGGAGAGGAGAAACGUGUAAUCACCCAAACAACCAUUUUUACCCAUUUCACCCCCUCUGGAUCUGUGGCGCAAGUGCGCCGCCGGCUUAUGCGCGCCUCCGCUGCGGAUACGCCGACGUGAGGCCGGACCCCGCGGAAGACGCCGAGAGUUUCAGAUGAUGUCCAGUACGCCAGGGCUGCUCCAGCCAAUAAACAAGGGAAACACUCUAAACCAACAUCCUGGGUAUAAAUUUGCAAAACGCAAUACAGGCCUGAUUGUGUGUUGAGUGGAUGUGGAGCGCAUACGAAUAGACCCGGGACCCCUUCCUCCUUCCUCCCUUCGAGCAACACAACUCAUUCCCUUCAACUCCCAUCUCUUCUCAUGCAGCCAAGUGAGUAUUGUAGGAAAAUCUUUUUUUCUCGUUACAGAACUAGAUUUUAAGCUCUUGAAUGCAACCUCACAAGAACUGGGUGCCGCUGAUUUUGCCAAACAUUUACUCAAACCAAAUAAUCACUGCUAGUCAGGUGGAAUCUCACUGAUCAGAAUAAUUCUUUUUUACAGAUAUUGAGAAUUCACACACUUUAUAAUGCACGUUUAAAACCUCUAGGUUGCCCUAACACACGCUUUAGUCUACAAUAUCAGAGAAUGUGAAUGGGAAAGCCGAGAACAAGCAAAGCCUUGGCACUGACACCAGGUCAGCUCCGAGCCCCCGCGCGCAGCCCAGCCCUCAGCACCAGGUGUUCGCUGUAUUCAGAUGAUGCUCUCAUUCAUAGACUCCUCCGACCGGAGUAUUAAAACUCAAAAUUUGCAACUGAAUGCUGAUAUAAUCCUGGAAAUAUAUGUCUCCAUUAAAAAGUAGCCCAUUUAAAGGAACAAGGCGGGCUUUGUGCGAGGCUUUAUGUAUAUUUAUCAAGGCGC